CUCGAUCGAUCAAUGGCGGCUCGACCCUUUCUGCCUUCUCUCUUUCUCUCUCUCUCUCUCUCACUCAAUUAUCAUAAUUAAUGGCAUGGUGCCAAAACAGAACCUGUUAAAAAAUAUUAUAUUAUAUUAUAUGUAUAUUUCGCCUUGUUUCUUCUCUUUUAUUUUCUUCUCUGGGUAGAGGGUGUAUAAUAUAUGGAUGGAUGG
This 204-nucleotide long non-coding RNA is filed under the name Carica papaya (papaya). Its description in RNAcentral is "long non-coding RNA (CPAP_LNC003101)". The record is from RNAcentral. Lineage: Eukaryota; Viridiplantae; Streptophyta; Magnoliopsida; Brassicales; Caricaceae.